UGCGAGUCCAGAGCUUUCGGAGCUCGGCGUACCGCUCAGUAACACGUGGGUAACCUAACCUAUGCAGGGGAAUAACCUCGGGAAACUGAGUAUAAUGCCCCAUAGUCCACUACGCCUGGAACGGUGAGUGGAUCAAAGCUCAGGCGGCAUAGGAUGGGCCUGCGGCGUAUCAGGUUGUAGGGGGUGUAAAGUACCCUCUAGCCAUCUACGCGUACGGGUGUUGGGAGACAUAGCCCGGAGAUGGAUUCUGAGACACGAAUCCAGACCCUACGGGGUGCAGCAGGCGCGAAAACUUGACAAUGCGAGCAAUCGUGAUCAGGGAACUCCAAGUGGCUGGGGUAAGACCCAGUCUUUUCAUAACUCUUCAAAGGUUGUAGAAUAAGGGGUGGGUAAGGACGGUGCCAGCCGCCGCGGUAAUACCGGCGCCUCAAGUGGUAGUCGCUUUUAUUGGGCCUAAAACGUCCGUAGCCGGUUUGGUACAUUCGUGGGUAAAUCAACUCGCUCAACGAGUUGAAUUCUGCGAGGACGGCCAGACUUGGGACCGGGAGAGGUGUGGGGUACUCUCAGGGUAGGGGUAAAAUCCUGUCAUCCUGAGAGGACCACCUGUUGCGAAGGCGCCACACUAGAACGGAUCCGAC
Molecule: ribosomal RNA, 638 nt
Filed under: uncultured archaeon
Lineage: Archaea
Description: bacterial SSU rRNA
Rfam family: Archaeal small subunit ribosomal RNA
Source: RNAcentral